AUGUCCAACGCCGCCACGGGCGCCGGCCGCAACAACGGCGACGGCGAGCAUCCCAAUGGCGGUCACCCGCACUACCACCACCGGCAGCGGGAGCACCACUGGCGGCCCCCGCACCCGCACAGCAGCAGGGCGUACCGCUCGGGCGUGCUGCGGUGGGCGAUGGCGGUGCUGUUCACGGUGCUGGCCGUGCUAGUCCUGCUGGCGGCCGUCUCCGUGCUGCUGGUGGUGCUGGUGCUGCAGCCCCGGGCGCCGUACCUGGCCGUGCAGAAUGCGCGGCUGGGGAACCUGGUGUACGACCAGCAGGGGGUGCUGGACAACGCGGAGCUGGAGCUGGACGUGCGCGCCGCCAACGUCAACGCCCACGCCGCCGUGGCCUUCUCGGAGCUCGAGCUGCGGCUGAGCUUCCACGACAUGGUGAUCGCCAUCCUGCGCGCCGACCCCUUCGUGGUGCCGCCCAGGGGCGAGCGCCCGCUGGGCUACGUGGCGUCCUCGGAGGCGGUGCCGCUGGACGGCGCCGGGCGCGCCGCCAUGGAGGGCGCGCUGGACCGCGGCGUGGUGCCGUUCCGGGUGAGCGGGCAGGCGCGGACGCGGUGGAAGGUGGGCGGGCUGGUGGCCGUCAAGUACUGGACGCGGCUGGCAUGCCAGAUCCGCUUCUUCUGGCCCAACGGCACAGCGCUCGACUUCACCUGCAACUCCAAGUCCAGGUCCCGCUACUGA
This 717-nucleotide ribosomal RNA is filed under the name Triticum aestivum (bread wheat). RNAcentral's name for it is "partial small subunit ribosomal RNA". Lineage: Eukaryota; Viridiplantae; Streptophyta; Magnoliopsida; Poales; Poaceae. The record is from RNAcentral.